GAACCGGUUUCUGCUCGCACUGGUAGUCUGUUUGUCGCUGGAGGGAUUUUUUUUUUCUUUUUAAGAACAAGAAAAAAAAAGGAAUCUGGUCACACAAGAUGCGACCAUUUCCUCUCUAAGAGCCAUCGAACCCUCCACGAAGACCCGGGUGACAUUUUUAUUAUUAUGGAUGUGCCCACGCAGAUGAGAGAGACGCGCUGGGAAAGAGAAGGGGGCCCACCUUCAAGGAAGAGAGAGUAAAUAGAUCAAAUGUUU
Long non-coding RNA from Xiphophorus hellerii (green swordtail), 255 nucleotides. RefSeq lists it as uncharacterized. The record is from RefSeq and is a predicted model, not a curated record. NCBI's taxonomy places the organism in Eukaryota, Metazoa, Chordata, Actinopteri, Cyprinodontiformes, Poeciliidae. The transcript is spliced from 2 exons.